Molecule: long non-coding RNA, 6882 nt
Filed under: Triticum aestivum (bread wheat)
Lineage: Eukaryota; Viridiplantae; Streptophyta; Magnoliopsida; Poales; Poaceae
Description: long non-coding RNA (TAES_LNC027982)
Source: RNAcentral
GAAAAUUAUAAGCAACAUAUAAGAUAUAACACCAUCGAGCCGGCAAGGUACAACCCUCUCCUGUACACUGUACAUGCUAAACAAAAAUAGGUGUAUGGAAAGUAAAAUUGUGUCAAAUAUAUUAAGUUUAUUGUAUGGUUUGAUCUAAUCUAAUCAACACAUAUAUCCUCCAACUGCAUAUUGUGCCGGGCAAAAAUUAUGUAAACUACUGAAUCUACAAAAACCAUCUAGAAAUAGCAGCAACAUAUUGUGUCCAAUAAUUGCAUUCAGCCAGUACAAACAAUAUAAGUGCCACAUAACUAGGUAAGACAAUCAUCUCCAAUAGAUACAGGACAAUUAUUUUCAGUAGUGUGUGUACUACUGUAGCAAGGGGUACUCCCACCAGCCAGAAUGUUCACACAAGUAAGCUCUUCAGCCAACAUUUAGGCCUGCAUUAUUUGUUGUGGUGGAUAUGUUGGGCUGCUAUCAGAAGGGUGGUGGUGGUGGUGGUGAGCCGCCUGGGCCCGGGGGUCCGAAGAAUGGGGCGCAGCAGUCUUGGAGCAGGCAGCAACAACAGAGGAGGUAGAACUGCACAAGAAGUAUUCGUCCUGAGUUUCAGAGAAUAUAAACAAUCUGUUUCAAACAGGGAAAAAAAUUCAAAGGAAGAAAUAUAAACGAUCGACUAAUGUAUGCUUCGCCACUUAUAUAUUGCAAUUUGAUUGAGUUGACCACUAAACCACUAACCAUCUAACUGAAUGAAUUGCUUUCUCUUUUCUUUUGGAGAUGUUGAUGUUGAUAAUACUAAUUUGAUGAUUUCGCUGGCAAAAAUGCACAGUUUAAAUUUCUGUUAGUAGCUGAGGAUUCAACUUACCAGGACCCGAAGAAGCCACCAAACCAAGGCCCCCAAGAACCAGGGCCAGGGCCUCCCCAACCUGGUCCUCCAGGCCCACGAGGACCCAUUCCACCAACACAGAAACAACUGGUUAAUACAGACUACAGCUUCACAAGAACUCAGCCAGGACACAAUACAAGAGUUGAUGCCCCAAUUGGAGAUGAAGAAGAAUUUAUAGAUGUAGGGUGAGAAUAAGUAGCUGUACAUGCACCUGCCGUUCCAAGGAUCACCUCUGAGUCUUGACUCUCACCCACUGGUCAGUCAGGUCUAUGUUCCAAGUUCCAACUACUAUUCUGAACCCUCAGCCUACUCUUGCCUUGCAUUACGAGUACAAGUUUGAGUUCAUUCUAAUCAACACCUGUGUCCUCCCAAUAGCAUAUAGUGUAUGUUAAAGUAAAACAACAGUCGGCAAAAAUACGUGAACAUCUGAAUCUAGAAACAGCAGCUACAAAUUGUGUUAGGUAUUUAUAUAUGCAAAGUAAGUACAUCUUAAGUUAUUAGCAUCAUCGGUGAGCUUAUAUUGCUUCAUUAUAUCACUUUGCUUACAUGUCAGAGAACACCCUCUGACGAGAAACAAUAUUAGGCUUCUGUUUCUGUGUGCUGAAAAGAUGAUAAUCAAGCUGAGGGAAGAGAGCAGGCUGAAAAUGUGUUUUUGGCUUCAACUUAUAAGGAAGAAGCAGAUAAAACUAAGUGUCUUUUUCCAGCCAUAAUCCCUGUAUGUUACAUGUCCCUCAUGUCUUGCCAAUUACCACGACGGUCAUUCGCUGCAGAUACAAAUGAUCUUUCAUGUAAAGUCUGCACAUAAUAAAAUUCAGCGGCAGUUCCUUGUUUAGACGGAAAAAAUCUGCUACUCUUGGCAACAUACGUUUAUGAUCUACAGACUAUUGGUCGACUUAUCUGAAAAAUACUUUGUACAGACUACAGAAACAUUGUCCAUAUGGUUUUGAUUUUUGUACAUAACCAGAUUACCAAUAGUAUCAGAAGCCUACUUGUAUAGAACAGUAUAUUUUGUACAGAACCGUCCAAAGUGUUUGCUGCUCAUGUAGCUUAAUCAAUUAACCUUGUAAGGCCUUUUUUCCUCCGGUGAAGUUUUUAUAGUGUGUUUGAGUACGAUUCUGGGGAUAGAAAAUAGUGCAAGUUUCUGCAUAUUUUCUACUAUGGCUGGUAUGAAGCUCCGAACUGUGAGUUUGCAUCUGAUUUCACAUGCUGGCUUAUGAAAAAUGAAUUAUGACAGAACAUUUCACUGAGCAGUGGACUAUGAUGCAACCAUUUAAUUUAACUACUACUGCUCCAUGGUCUUCUAAAAAUUCAGAUGUAGCUUACAAGUCAACAAAGAAUCUGUCUAUGCUCAUCGUCAGCUUCAACGAAGGGUAGAAACAGGGAACACCCCUACUAAUAAUGACUAUUAAGAAGACCACUAAAUAAAAAUGGUAAUGUCAAUUCUUCAAUUCAAGAAAUAUGGUACUAAGAACUAAGAACUAAGAACAACAACAACAACAACAACAACAACAAAGCCUUUAGUCCCAAACAAGUUGGGGUAGGCUAGAGGUGAAACCAAUAAGAUCUCGCAACCAACUCAUGGCUCUGGCACAUGGAUAGCAAGCUUCCACGCACCCCUGUCCAUAGCUAGCUCUUUGUCGAUACUCCAAUCCUUCAGGUCUCUCUUAACGGACUCCUCCCAUGUCAAAAUCGGUCGACCCCGCCCUCUCUUGACAUUCUCCGCACGCUUUAGCCGUCCGCUAUGCACUGGAGCUUCUGGAGGCAUGCGCUGAAUAUGCCCAAACCAUCUCAAACGAUGUUGGACAAGCUUCUUCUCAAUUGGUGCUACCCCAACUCUAUCUCGUAUAUCAUCAUUCCGGACUCGAUCCUACCUCGUGUGGCCACACAUCCAUCUCAACAUACGCAUCUCCGCCACACCUAACUGUUGAACAUGUCGCCUUUUAGUCGGCCAACACUCCGCGCCAUACAACAUUGCGGGUCGAACAGCCGUCAUGUAGAACUUGCCUUUUAGCUUUUGUGGCACUCUCUUGUCACAGAGAAUGCCAGAAGCUUGGCGCCACUUCAUCCAUCCGGCUUUGAUUCGAUGGUUCACAUCUUCAUCAAUACCCCCAUCCUCCUGCAACAUUGACCCCAAAUACCGAAAGGUGUCCUUCCGAGGUACCACCUGGCCAUCAAGGCUAACCUCCUCCUCCUCACAGCUAGUAGUACUGAAACCGCACAUCAUGUACUCGGUUUUAGUUCUACUAAGCCUAAACCCUAUCUUUUGGGUUUCAUCUCCAUAAGAGUGGCUGAGUUUUUACGUUGGCUCGCCAAGCCUAUCACAACCCUCCUCCUUUACCCGGGCUUGGGACCGGCUAUGUUGAGACAACAUAGGCGGAGUUAACUAAGAACUAAGAACACCACUAGAAAAUUCAAUUCCUGCCGACACAUGAGGUGGUUCAGCUGGCAAAUAUUUCAAAAGCAGAGCAAAGCAUCAACACGGCAUUAAUCACUUCAACCAAAAGGGAGACAAGCAAUAUAACAUUCAGAGCUUAUGAUCCUAACUUAUAUUACAUCAAUGCCUAAAAACAAGAUGCCAGCAGGCUCAUAGUUGAUCAUUCCAUAGAUAUUGCGGCUCAUAAGGAAACGACAGCUAGUCCGUUAAGAACCACCACCUCACUGAACAGCGAUCAGAUGAAAAGUGAAGCAUUCACAGCAUAACCUUUUAGAGCCGGAAAAAAGGUAUGCUGAACAAGACUUUGCUUGAGCUGACAAUGAUAAACACAGAGGCGUUGGAGAUCAAAAUUGAAACUGUCAAUCAAUUUGCCAUCUGUGUCAAUGUGAAACGCCGACCAACCAAAAUUGACCAGCAAGAGCAUGCCACCAUCCCCCGAAACAUCGUUCACAUCCCAAAGAUUAAUAUCCCGAAAGUCAUAGUCUACAUAAUCUUUGACCCGGCCCCUGAUUUCUUCAACUGGCAGUCUGAUUUGGUACUUUAAAUCCCAAACCUCGCUUUCGUAGUUCUGCAACACCCAUAUACCAACAGUGUUCUUAUCAUCGUCAUGGCAAUAGAUGCCAAGCAUGCCACCCUUCUCAAAGAUAUAUCCCUGGGUGGGAACAAUUGGAGAAUGCAUCUGCCGGAACGACUCGGCUAUGGUGUCGAAUACUAUUAUGGGUUUGCUUUCACGCUGUGUGCUUCCCCUCCGAUGAUACACUGGGUUUGGGUACCAAUGCAGACCAUCACGCACGUGGACAGGUUCGUCGAGCAACUCUGCCUUCGUCUCCGGCCACCCGAUGUACCUCGGUGACUGGUCGGGUCCCAACGGAAGGACAAAGCAGCCAAUUUGAUCUUUCGGCGAGUCCUUGCGGCUCGCCUGGUGCAGUAGCAGGCGGUACUCGCCGGUAGGUCGGUGUGGGUAUAUCCCCAAGGUGUCAAAGUCCCACGGCGGCCCUACGACGGAGGCGAGCUCACGCGUGGUCGGGUUGCAGAUAGAGAUGUGGGAUCCGCAUAUACCCUUGUAGUACGUGGAGAGGACGAGGAGGCCGUCGCACGAGGCAUCCACAUAUAAGUGCCUGUCAAGCCGGGCGACCCUAUGGAGCUGCGCGUUUGCGGCGGCCCGGUGGUCGAAGGCGAGAAUGUCAUGGUGGCGGAAGGCGAGGACGCAUCGUUCGCCAGACAAAAUGUGGAAGGUGGGCUGGCGGGCGUGGUGGGCGAGGAGGAAGCCGUGGGCGGAGGUGGCGCGGCGCCAGGAGCGGCGGACGGCGCGGCAGCGGAGGAGGGAUUUGGGGUUGAGGCGGACGAGGAUCUCCCAGAUCACGAUCUCAUCGGGGAGGCUGCUGAGGAGAGGCGUCGCUCGUCCUGCCGCGGCCACCUCCGCCAUGAUCGCCGGCUGGGAACGACAAGAAUCGUGCGCUUGUGCUGGUGGCGGCGGAGCGGAGGGGAGGAGAUUGAAAUGGGCACGGCCCAGGUUCUCUUGGAUGAGAGAAAUAGUGUCCCUCAAAUGGGCUGGGCUUAGCCCAGAAGCAGAUUACUGCGGACUUCUUCAUUUUGGCAGUGAGAUCACUGAGAAAUUUGGUAGGUAUUGCAACGGAUUUUUAAUUUGCUUGGUGUAAUGUAUUGUACUGCAACAAUUCUUCCUUGCCACCGGAAAAUAGAUUUUUGUUUUCAAAAAAGAAGAAAAAUAUUUUUCCUAGAGAAAAAAAAAUGUUUUUUCCCUUAAAAAAUACUGCUCCCUCCGUUCACUUUUGUAAGCCGUUUCAGACAACUGAAAACGGACUGUUUUGCACAUUGUCUGAAAUGUCUUCAAGGCCUUAUAAAAGUGAACAGAGGGAGUACGACGUACACAAGAACUUAUGUGUCCUCGUAUAUGGUACACAUUUUGUUUCUUUGAACGUAUAUAUGUUAAAGAUCAAACAUCACACCAAGCAAUGGAGAAGGGGAAUAACAAUGUCCAAUUCUGUCAAUAAGACGAUCUUCAGUCUCCAUAAGACCCACCUAACCUCUGAUGCAAUUAUAAAUCCAGGAAGAAAAAGAAAUUAUAUAGAGCACUUCAUUGAGAAGUUGACUAUGAUGCGCGACCAUUUCAUUUAACGAAUAACGAGCAGUGCUCCAAGCCCAAGGUUUCCCUGAAAAUCAGAUGCCUCUUUUCAUAGCUACAACGGAUGGGUAGGGAGGAGAGCUGCAUUGUCCAUUCUUCAGUUCAAGAAAAAGGCGACACAGGGCAUUUAUAUUGCUAACAGAGGAUGGUUAUCUGUUUCAUGAUAUGCUCCAAUCAACCCAUUUAUCUUCCGAGCAUGAUACAUUCUGUGUAUGUAAAAGUAGAACACCUGCCAGGCAAGAAUAUAUAGUUGUGACUCUCACCCACUAGACCCUUUGGCCUAUGUUCCAACUUCCAACUACUACUCUGACCUCCCUUCCAGCUCUUGCCUUGCAUUACAGAGUACAAGUUUGACUUCAAUCUCUGGUGGGCUGGUGUGUGAUCAACUGAACCUGCACUAUCAUGCUCAGUCUAAACAAUUUAAUUUCAUGCUAUGAUCAAAUCUAAUUUAAAACAGCUGCAUGGCAAAGCACACCUCCAGUUCUCAAUGUUUUAUAAUCUAGCAUGCUGCACUGGACUGAUNNNNNNNNNNNNNNNNNNNNNNNNNNNNNNNNNNNNNNNNNNNNNNNNNNNNNNNNNNNNNNNNNNNNNNNNNNNNNNNNNNNNNNNNNNNNNNNNNNNNNNNNNNNNNNNNNNNNNNNNNNNNNNNNNNNNNNNNNNNNNNNNNNNNNNNNNNNNNNNNNNNNNNNNNNNNNNNNNNNNNNNNNNNNNNNNNNNNNNNNNNNNNNNNNNNNNNNNNNNNNNNNNNNNNNNNNNNNCAUCACUUGCUUGAUCACAUUUCAUAGCUUUUGACCGUGCUCUUAUUUUUCUAUCAAUGGCAGCUGGAGCUGCAUUUACAUAGUCAUGUAGUUUAUUGGUUCAGUACAAAUUAUCUCUAGUACAAGUAGUACAAGAUGUUAAGGUGAAACACAAUAAUAAGGUAUGGGCUAAAUAUGCAUCCCUGACCUGUACAUAGUGCAUGCUAAUCAAAAAAGGUAUAUGUGUAGAGUUAAAAAUGUUUCAAACAAAUUAAGUUUAUGGUAUGAUUUCAUCUAAUCUAAUCAAAACAUGUAUCCUCCGAACAGCAUACAGUAAAAGUAUGCAAUGAUAUCCAAGAAACAUGUAUCCUCCGAACAGCAUACGGUAAAAGUAUGCAAUGGUCUCCAAGAAACAUGUAUCCUCCAAACAACAUACAGUAAAAGUAUGCAAUGAUCUCCAAGAAAUAUGUAAGCAACUGAAUCGACAAAAGCCAUCUAGAAACAGCAGUGACAUAUUGUGUCCGGUAAUUGCAUUUAGUCACAUUAGUACCAAGUAACUAGGUAAGAGUGCAUACAAUGAUCUCCAAGAGAUAAUACAUGAUUUUAACUAGUGUUUAUACUCUAGCAAGGGACACUCCCAACAUCAGCCAAAUGAGUUAUGCAGCGAAUGUUUUGGCCCAGAAACUGUAACCCAGUG